GACGAACGCUGGCGGCGUGCCUAAUACAUGCCAGUAGAACGCACAGUUUAUACCGUAGCUUGCUACACCAUAGACUGUGGGUUGCGAACGGGUGAGUAACGCGUAGGUAACCUGCCUGGUAGCGGGGGAUAACUAUUGGAAACGAUAGCUAAUACCGCAUAAUAUUAAUUAUUGCAUGAUAAUUGAUUGAAAGAUGCAACUGCAUCACUACCAGAUGGACCUGCGUUGUAUUAGCUAGUAGGUGAGGUAACGGCUCACCUAGGCGACGAUACAUAGCCGACCUGAGAGGGUGAUCGGCCACACUGGGACUGAGACACGGCCCAGACUCCUACGGGAGGCAGCAGGAGGGAAUCUUCGGCAAUGGACGAAAGUCUGACCGAGCAACGCCGCGGGAGUGAAGAAGGUUUUCGGAUCGUAAAGCUCGGUUGUAAGAGAAGAACGGGGGUGAGAGUGGAAAGUUCACACUGUGACGGUAUCUGACCAGAAAGGGACGGCUAACUACGUG
Molecule: ribosomal RNA, 505 nt
Filed under: uncultured bacterium
Lineage: Bacteria
Description: partial 16S ribosomal RNA
Rfam family: Bacterial small subunit ribosomal RNA
Source: RNAcentral